GAUGAACGCUAGCUACAGGCUUAACACAUGCAAGUCGAGGGGUAACGAGAGGAAAGCUUGCUUUCCUUGUCGACGACCGGCGCACGGGUGAGUAACGCGUAUCCAACCUGCCCCCAACUAGGGAAUAACCUUGCGAAAGUAAGACUAAUACCCUAUAAUUUCCUCAGAUGUCAUCUGACGAGGAAUAAAGAUUUAUCGGUUGCGGAUGGGGAUGCGUCUGAUUAGCUUGUUGGCGGGGUAACGGCCCACCAAGGCAACGACCAGUAGGGGUUCUGAGAGGAAGGUCCCCCACAUUGGAACUGAGACACGGUCCAAAAUGCUACGGGAGGCAGCAGUGAGGAAUAUUGGUCAAUGGGCGGAAGCCUGAACCAGCCAAGUAGCGUGCAGGAUGACUGCCCGAUGGGUUGUAAACUGCUUUUAUACAGGAAUAAAGUUAGCCACGUGUGGUUAUUUGUAGGUACUGUAUGAAUAAGGACCGGCUAAUUCCGUGCCAGCCGCCGCCGUAA
RNAcentral lists this ribosomal RNA (506 nucleotides) under uncultured bacterium. RNAcentral describes it as "partial 16S ribosomal RNA". It matches the Rfam family "Bacterial small subunit ribosomal RNA", at positions 28 to 523 of the family's 1533-position model. The record is from RNAcentral.